Molecule: ribosomal RNA, 419 nt
Filed under: uncultured eukaryote
Lineage: Eukaryota
Description: bacterial SSU rRNA
Rfam family: Eukaryotic small subunit ribosomal RNA
Source: RNAcentral
CAAUAGCGUAUAUUAAAGUUGUUGCGGUAAAAAGCUCGUAGUUGGAUUUCUGUUGAGGACGACCGGUCCAUACCACGUAUGCGCAUCUGGCUCGGCCUCGGCAUCCUCUCGCGAAACGUUUCUGCGCUUGAUUGCGUGGAGCGGGUCUCGGGACUUUUACUUUGAGGAAAUUAGAGUGUUUACGGCAGGCAAACGCCUUGAAUACAUUAGCAUGGAAUAAUAAUAUAGGACCUGAGUUCUAUUUGUUGGUUUCUAGAACUGAAGUAAUGAUUAAUAGGGAUAGUUGGGGGCAUUAGUAUUUAAUUGUCAGAGGUGAAAUUCUUGGAUUUAUGAAAGACUAACUUCUGCGAAAGCAUUUGCCAAGGAUGUUUUUCAUUAAUCAAGAACGAAAGUUAGGGGAUCGAAGACGAUCAGAUAUC